GACGAACGCUGGCGGCGUGCUUAACACAUGCAAGUCGAACGGAAAGGCCCUGCUUUUUUGGUGUGCUCGAGUGGCGAACGGGUGAGUAACACGUGAGUAACCUGCCCUUGACUUUGGUAUAACUUCAGGAAACUGGGGCUAAUCCCGGAUCGGAGCUCCUGCUGCAUGGUGGGGGUUGGAAAGUUUCGGCGGUUGGGGAUGGACUCGCGGCUUAUCAGCUUGUUGGUGGGGUAGUGGCUUACCAAGGCUUUGACGGGUAGCCGGCCUGAGAGGGUGACCGGCGACAAUGGGACUGAGAUACGGCCCAGACUGCUACGGGAGGCAGCAGUGGGGAAUAUUGCACAAUGGGCGGAAGCCUGAUGCAGCAACGCCGCGUGCGGGAUGACGGCCUUCGGGUUGUAAACCGCUUUCGCCUGUGACGAAGCGUGAGUGACGGUAAUGGGUGAAGAAGCACCGGCUAACUACGUG
Molecule: ribosomal RNA, 468 nt
Filed under: uncultured bacterium
Lineage: Bacteria
Description: partial 16S ribosomal RNA
Rfam family: Bacterial small subunit ribosomal RNA
Source: RNAcentral